RNAcentral lists this ribosomal RNA (254 nucleotides) under uncultured bacterium. RNAcentral describes it as "partial 16S ribosomal RNA". It matches the Rfam family "Bacterial small subunit ribosomal RNA", at positions 524 to 776 of the family's 1533-position model. The record is from RNAcentral.
UACGGGGGGAGCAAGCGUUGUUCGGAUUUACUGGGCGUAAAGGGCGCGUAGGCGGCCACCGCAAGUCACUUGUGAAAUCUCCGGGCUUAACUCGGAAAGGUCAACUGAUACUGUGCGACUAGAGUGCAGAAGGGGCAACUGGAAUUCUCGGUGUAGCGGUGAAAUGCGUAGAUAUCGAGAGGAAUACCUGCGGCGAAGGCGGGUUGCUGGGGUGACACUGACGCUGAGGCGCGAAAGCCAGGGGAGCGAACGGG